GCCCGGUUAGCUCAGCCGGUAGAGCGUUGGACUUUUAAUCCAACAGUCAAGGGUUCAAAUCCCUUAUCGGGCU
This is a non-coding RNA of Ciona savignyi (Pacific transparent sea squirt), 73 nucleotides long. NCBI's taxonomy places the organism in Eukaryota, Metazoa, Chordata, Ascidiacea, Phlebobranchia, Cionidae. The record is from Rfam.